UAUAAGUGCAGGUAGAAAUACACUGCAUACUCGCGUCACCGAACUAAUUGUUUAAGCGAUAUGCAAUAUCGUCGGCCGCGGGGGGCGCCUUCGGGCGUCUUUUUUUUUUU
RNAcentral lists this non-coding RNA (110 nucleotides) under unclassified sequences. RNAcentral's name for it is "DUF3800-I RNA". It matches the Rfam family "DUF3800-I RNA". Rfam says of the family: Actinobacteria, Firmicutes, Fusobacteria, Proteobacteria (1 example), Tenericutes (2 examples). Terminator (Clostridia) The record is from Rfam by way of RNAcentral.